Molecule: non-coding RNA, 200 nt
Filed under: Bacteroidota bacterium
Lineage: Bacteria; Pseudomonadati; Bacteroidota
Source: RNAcentral
UUACAUUUGCCCCGCAAUGGUUCCUGAAGGCCAACACCCGAAGGAUGAAAAGGGAAUGCCGUGCAAUUCGGCAACAGUACCCGCUGCUGUAAGCUCUUUAAACUUUUAUCGAAUACCUUUGCCACUGCCCCGAUACUCGGGGUGGGAAGGCCCGGUAAAAGGGAGUAAGUCAGAAGACCUGCCUGAGCAACACAAUGCCU